This 639-nucleotide long non-coding RNA is filed under the name Mytilus galloprovincialis (Mediterranean mussel). The record is from RNAcentral. Lineage: Eukaryota; Metazoa; Mollusca; Bivalvia; Mytilida; Mytilidae.
UAUAUUAAUAAGGUCUUUAGUUUUUUCAUUUGAAGUUUUACAUUUUUGAUUUAAGGGCCUUUUAUAGCUGACUCUGUGAAUGGGCUUUACUCAUUGUUGAAGGCCAUAGCCACAGCGGCUAAAUUUUUUAUCAUUUAGUGUUGUGGAAAAUUGUCUCAUACCACAUGAUACAUAUUCUUUUAAUGUAAACCCUGUAACUUUCCUCUUUGUUGUGCAAGAAGCCUAAGUUUUUUUUUUUGCUUAUCUUUAGGUUUGAUUGUUUUGUUAUUCAGUUUUUAUAUAUUCAUUCUAUUUCUGGUGUGAACAAAGAGUAUGUUGAUGCAGCUAAUUUUAUGGAUAAAGGCUGAAAAAACUUAUUGCAAGUCCUGUGGGUACAAAUACAUAUACAAUCUAUUUAUAUGAACACAUUGUAAUAAAUACUGAUUUUACUCAUUUGUUUUUAUGUAAUAUAUGUAUUAAUUUAUUAAGACCAGGUAUUAGUUUACAGAACCUUACAAAUUCAAUUAUAUCCAAAUGGAUUUGAAGGCAACUAAAUGUAGUGUGGUUAGCCUGAAAUCAUAUGGACUACUGUGGAUUUGAAAGCCACUAAAUGUAGUGUGGUAAGCCUGAAAUCAUACCGACCACUGUGGAUUUGAAGGC